GCACUGCUGACGAGUCCAAAACAGGACGAGACAGCUGUCCAGUGC
Molecule: non-coding RNA, 45 nt
Organism: Echinostoma caproni
Lineage: Eukaryota; Metazoa; Platyhelminthes; Trematoda; Plagiorchiida; Echinostomatidae
Source: Rfam